RNAcentral lists this ribosomal RNA (265 nucleotides) under uncultured archaeon. Its description in RNAcentral is "partial 16S ribosomal RNA". It matches the Rfam family "Archaeal small subunit ribosomal RNA", at positions 717 to 982 of the family's 1478-position model. The record is from RNAcentral.
ACACGACUACAUUAGACUACCCGGUAGUCCCAGCUGUAAACUAUGUGCGUUAGGUGUGUCAGUGACCACGUGUCACUGAGGCGCCGAAGGGAACCGUGAAACGCACCGCCGUGGGAGUACGGUCGCAAGGCUAGAAACUUAAAGGAAUUGGCGGGGGAGCACCACAACGGGUGGAGCUUGCGGUUUAAUUGGAUUCAACGCCGGAAAUCUUACCGGGACCGACAGCAACAUGAAGGCCAGGCUGAAGACUUUGCCGGAUUAGCUG